Molecule: non-coding RNA, 65 nt
Organism: Homalodisca vitripennis (glassy-winged sharpshooter)
Lineage: Eukaryota; Metazoa; Arthropoda; Insecta; Hemiptera; Cicadellidae
Source: the annotation of a RefSeq genome assembly
UUAGUUAAAGCCAAAAUUAGAGGCAUCUUAUUGUUAAUAAGAAUAAUGAAUUUUUUCUAACUAAA